AAGUUAAAGCAGAUACUGAGGACACUUGCUCUCCCUGUGGUUGAUCCACCACAGUAUCCAACCCUCUUACUACAAUGCAGAACCCUGAGCAUCACAUAAUGUAUUACAUCAUAAUUGCCUGUAUGACCUCACGGAUUACACAACUGAAAUCUAUUUGAAUAGCUACUUCAGAGACAUGCGUUGUCCAAAUAACACCUGACUCUGAAGAGUACCAAAAUGGCUUCUUCCAAUUCUCCUAGGAAGCCAUAGCAAGAAGCAAUAUAGGGCAACAACAAUAUACAGCUCAGCUACAAUGAUAUGUAUUUAAUGUCAAUUAUGCCAUCGGUAGCAAGAGCUCAAGCCUACAAAGAUCAUAUGUUUGGGGAAAGGUGAAGAGAAUCAAUGAAGCUUGGUCAGGAGACCACCUGGAGAUCAGCAGCAAAAGACUGGGAACUGGCUCAAGAAACACGGAGUCGAUGUGGAAAGCUCUUCCAGGCAUGGGACAAGGAAGUAAAGAACAGGGAAAGAGAACAAGAGGGCUCAAGAGAGUACUAAAUAAAUACAAGGAAGACAUAGUGGCUUAAAUGAAACUGAAUGGGAUUGACUACAAGAGAGGUACACCAGCAAUCAAAGGAGGCCAAAAUUGCAGGAUGGAAACUAAUUAAGGAAAUGGUUUCUUAGACACAGCAUCACAGAAGACAGCACUUGGCAACAAUCCUCUCUCCUAAUCACUCAGCUUUGACUCCUCGAUCUCCAAUAAUUCAAGAACUAUUUAUCUACAAUGUGUCUAAAGUUAAAGAGGUAUUUGGGGGAUUAGGGCCUACUCUAACACAGAAUUUCAUAUCCCACCCAUCUUUGUAAUGGCUGUUUCAAACUGCCAGUUAAUAAACCUGUUUCUGUCCGA
This is a long non-coding RNA of Anolis carolinensis (green anole), 883 nucleotides long. RefSeq lists it as uncharacterized. The transcript is spliced from 2 exons. NCBI's taxonomy places the organism in Eukaryota, Metazoa, Chordata, Lepidosauria, Squamata, Anolidae. The record is from RefSeq and is a predicted model, not a curated record.